This is a long non-coding RNA of Coffea eugenioides, 523 nucleotides long. RefSeq lists it as uncharacterized. Lineage: Eukaryota; Viridiplantae; Streptophyta; Magnoliopsida; Gentianales; Rubiaceae. The record is from RefSeq and is a predicted model, not a curated record. The transcript is spliced from 3 exons.
AGUCACCAUCUUGGAAUUGAUGAUACCAAAAAUAUUGCAAGAGUGGUACAACACAUGCUUAUAGAUGGUGCUCUUUUGCAAAUUACUGCAAGGAGAUUACGUGGUUCUCCUGAAAAAGUGGGAGUAUAUUGGCGUCACUUGGUUCCUUUCAGCAAAUGUGGUUUUCAAAAUCUGAGUUUGAGGAACAUGGAGCUUCUAAUGUUCAAAGAAAAUGCCCGUAAAGUACUUUACUGGUGCAGACAAUUAUCACAUUAGACAUAAAUUCAUGGAGCUGACUUCACUUUGAUUAGUUCGCUGACGGUAUGGGUUGCUCGGUUUUAAUAUCCUGCUUUAUAGGCGCCCAAACAAUGUACUAUAUAUAUUUACUAUACCUCUCGCGAAUCGUUGCUAAUGUUGUACAAUUACGUUACCUGACUUUUAGUUCAACAAAUUAUACUUGUUAGGGAAUCUUUCAAGUUUGUACUUGUUAUUGACUUUUAGUUCAACAAAUUAUAUUUGAGCAUUGACUUUUGCUUUUAGAUUA